AAAAUAGAUUCAUGUAUGAGUGCUGAUUGUUAAAUACCUCGUGUAGGAUCUAAAUUAAGUUUUUUUAGUUAAUGCAAACUCUAUAAUCAAUCCCCCAAUCCUAUGCUUACACUAACUCUAAAUGUAUACCGACCCUAAUCCUAAAUGUUAACCCUUACUCUAACCCUAAGGAAUACACUCUGAUAAUAUCAAUACUGAUAUCAGCAGAUGGACUUCCAAGCUAAAACAGUAGACAGAGGUCUGUGACCACCACCUACUGGCUAUUUUCAGCAUGACGGAGGUCUCCCUGUAAUGCUGAACCUCCAGCAUGUUUCCCCUGCUGUUCACUCUUUGAUCUAUGUUGGGUUGUUGGCAAAGCCCAUCACCGAUCACAAUCAGUAGGAGGGCAUGCAAGGAGACCUUGUAAUUGGCUGUUCAGACCCUUGAGCAGCCGAGAAUCACUGCAAGCAGAGUGCAGUCUGCUCAGCCAUGGUGUUUUCAAUGGAUCUAUGUCUUUCCAUUCAUUAUUAAGCUGUUUUGCUGAAUUUUUACUCACAAUGAGCUCAUUGGUUUUUCCGGUGCCACUAAAUAUAGCCACAGCAGAUUGAUACCUGCAUCUCCCUGGUGUGAGCAGGUAUUUGACUCUGCUCACAUCAAACUUUCAAGCGAGGGAUUUAAAUCUCUAUUUAAAGAGCUAUAACCAGCGUUCACUUUGUCUUUGUUUACUGAGAAGUGUCAGUAAAAUGUCGGGUGCAAAGCACAGUAAUGGCUCCUUCACAUUCCAGUGCCCAUUAGUGAGUGUAGGACCGUAAGGAAGCAAUUACUGUGCUUUGCAACGGAUGGAGG
Molecule: non-coding RNA, 825 nt
Organism: Pelobates cultripes (western spadefoot toad)
Lineage: Eukaryota; Metazoa; Chordata; Amphibia; Anura; Pelobatidae
Source: the annotation of a GenBank genome assembly